GGUAGUAUGCCAGAGUGGUUAAUGGGUAAGACUUGAAAUCUUAUGGCUUCGGCCGCAUAGGUUCGAACCCUAUUGCUACCG
RNAcentral lists this transfer RNA (81 nucleotides) under Grosmannia clavigera kw1407. RNAcentral describes it as "tRNA-Ser (TGA) (tRNA-Ser-TGA-2-1)". It matches the Rfam family "tRNA". From Rfam's summary of the family: Transfer RNA (tRNA) molecules are approximately 80 nucleotides in length. Their secondary structure includes four short double-helical elements and three loops (D, anti-codon, and T loops). Lineage: Eukaryota; Fungi; Ascomycota; Sordariomycetes; Ophiostomatales; Ophiostomataceae. The record is from Rfam by way of RNAcentral.